UUGCUUCAGUAGCAUAUAUACUAGAAACUGGAAUGACACAGAGAAGAUUAGGAUGGCCCCUGGGCAAGGAUGACGUGCAAAUUUGUGAAGUGUUCCUUUUAUUA
Small nuclear RNA from Gorilla gorilla gorilla (western lowland gorilla), 104 nucleotides. The record is from Ensembl. NCBI's taxonomy places the organism in Eukaryota, Metazoa, Chordata, Mammalia, Primates, Hominidae.